AGCAGCCGCGGUAAUUCCAGCUCCAAUAGCGUAUAUUAAAGUUGCUGCAGUUAAAAAGCUCGUAGUUGAAUUUCGGGACCAUCAUGUCGGUCGUGCCUCGGUACGUACUGGCAUUGUUGGUUUCUCCCUUCUGACGAACCAUGAUGUCAUUUAUUUGGUGUUGUGGGGAAUCAGGACUGUUACUUUGAAAAAUUAGAGUGUUUAAAGCAGGCUCACGCUUGAAUACAUUAGCAUGGAAUAAUGAAAUAGGACGUUUGAUUCCAUUUUGUUGGUUUCUAGGAUCGACGUAAUGAUUAAUAGGGAUAGUUGGGGGCAUUAGUAUUCAAUUGUCAGAGGUGAAAUUCUUGGAUUUAUUGAAGACUAACUACUGCGAAAGCAUUUGCCAAGGAUGUUUUCAUUAAUCAAGAACGAAAGUUAGGGGAUCGAAGACGAUCAGAUACCGUCGUAGUC
Molecule: ribosomal RNA, 450 nt
Filed under: uncultured Glomus
Lineage: Eukaryota; Fungi; Glomeromycota; Glomeromycetes; Glomerales; Glomeraceae
Description: SSU rRNA
Rfam family: Eukaryotic small subunit ribosomal RNA
Source: RNAcentral